RNA transcript from Nymphaea colorata (pocket water lily), 2081 nucleotides. It is a transcript of the gene named protein unc-13 homolog, with no coding region annotated. The transcript has 5 exons. Lineage: Eukaryota; Viridiplantae; Streptophyta; Magnoliopsida; Nymphaeales; Nymphaeaceae. The record is from RefSeq and is a predicted model, not a curated record.
AACGUGCGGACUGCGAUUACGGGCUUCUUUCUUUCUUCUUCGUUUUGCGCUCUCCGAUUGGUUAGAGUGUGGACAUUACAACAUGGCCUCUAAUUUAUUGUUUUUCUCGAGUGUUACCGGUGAUUAGAUUUAGUAUGUGUUGGGUGUGCGGACGGAUCAGUUUGGCAGUUUAGGCGCUGUGGAUGUUAUCUUGCUUAAACCCUUGCCAGAGUUUGUUUUCUUUCUUGUUUGAUGGAUCAUUUUACUUCAUCUCCCUUUUUCCUCCUAGCUGGAAUUCUUUUUAGGGUUUCUCUCAAUUUCUGAGAAAUUUUUCGCCUAUUCAGUUGAAUGCGGGCUGUGAUUACGGGCUUCUUUCUUUCGUCUUCAUUUCGUGCUUUCUGAUCAGUUAGAGCGUUGGACAUUGCAAGUUGAUUUUCCUUUGAUUUAUUGUUUCUCUUCUCGAACGUUAUCGGUGAUUAGAUUUAGUACAUGUUUGGCGUGCAGAUGGAUUAGUUUGGUGGUUCAGGCGCUGUGGAUGUUCUCUUGCUUAAACCCUUGCCAGAGUUUGUUUCCUUUCUUGUUUGAUGCACCGGGAGAGUUUGAAGAGUUUUUGGGUGGUCCCUUGUGGGUUUUACGAUUGCAGACUUGUAGAACAGAAUGGGCGAUCUGGGCAUUGAGGCGCGGAAGCCACUCCUAGGUUUGUCUACGUCGCUUGAGGGCAAAAGGAGGAGCAAGAAGAAAGUGCUCGAGAAUGAAGGUGAAAUACAAAGGAGUGAAUGCCUCAGAUCUCUGAGGGAUAUUUCCCUUGCACUUGCUGAGAUGCCUGCACGUGGUGAUCUAACAGGAAGUAGGAGAUUCGUGAACUCUUGAAAUCAAUCUGGCAAAUUCUAGGAAUCACAAGGACUAUCCAUGGUAUAUGCUAUGCUUGGGUCUUAUUUCAGCAGUUUAUCAUAACUGGUGAACAACGGCUUCUACAACAUGCCACUGAAAUGCUAAGAAAGAUUCCACUAAAAUAACAGCGAAGUAUGCAGGAAAAGUUAUAUUUGAAAGGCCUCUGUUUUCCAAUCGAAGGAGAAAUAGGGAAUCAAGAAUUAACAUUUAUGCAUUCUGUCUUGUCACCUAUAAAGCAGUGAGCUGAUAAGCGUUUGGAGGAUUAUCAUUGCCAUUUUUUUGAGGUAAUCACAGUUGGAGCUGAUCCAGCGUUCGAAUGGUUGUGAAUUUUAUCUUAUUUGGGAACUUGAUUAAGAGAGUUGUGAUGUCCACUGGUGCUGUUUCUUUGGAUGAUGUUGGACUGGAUCAAGUCAGCAUUGAUUAUGUUCUCAACUAUGCCAAGAAAGGUUAGGUGACAAAGGAUUUAUACCGAUUCAACUUCUGCAGCCAUAAGAGAAAGAAAAAACUUCUUGAAGGGUGUUUGUUCCUUUUUUUUUUGGAGCUUUUAGGAACUUGCUCUUGUUACAGGGGAUGUGCUGCAAUUAUCAAAAGUAAUCAGAGACCAUUAUGAAAAAGUCAUCCUUCCAGCGACUUGUACACUAAUUAGACCAUAUUCUAAUUAAUUGACUUGUAGUCUUUUGUAGCUUCUCAAUCUGUUUGAAGCAUUUAAAUGAAGUAUUUUGAUGGAUAAAUGUACUAACAAGUGCCUAUAAGUAGAUAAGUAGACAAACAUAUCUCUGAACAAACAAGCAAACAAAUAAGUAAUGUUUGUGUUUGUGUUUAUGUGUGCAUGCAUGUGUGUGUAUAUGUCUACUUCAUUUUCCAAUAAGCUGACAAAGCAAUUUAGACAGGCUUAAGCGCUGACUGUGUUACAUUGGUCUUGAAGUGAUCCUGUCAAUAAACAUAUCUAGUUCUGCGACCGUCUUUAUUUUCUUUUCUUCUACAAUAUUUUUUUCAAAUCAAACCUUUUUUUGUGGCGUUUAUUACAUUUUGAUGGAUAUGAAACUUCCUUCCAGGGUAAGAAGCUUCUUCUCUCACAGUCUGUCAAUAACUGAAAUUUGCAUAGUUUUUUACGUAUUUUCUUGUUCUUUUUGUUUUCUAUAGUUUGGGAAAUGCUUUUUAUUCAUUUUUCAAUCUGGAAGCUUUUGGUUUGAUUUGUGUGUUCUUUUGCA